AACCCCUUCACUUUUAAUGCUGAAUCAG
This 28-nucleotide non-coding RNA is filed under the name Mus musculus (house mouse). The record is from RNAcentral. Lineage: Eukaryota; Metazoa; Chordata; Mammalia; Rodentia; Muridae.